CCUUUACAACAUCAGAAGGAUUCGUCCAUUUCUAUCCAUACAGGCCAUUCAGGUGCUGGUUCAGUCUCUUGUCAUUUCAAGACUGGACUACUGCAACUCACUCCUGGCAGGUCUUCCUCUGAGCACCAUCUGACCUUUGCAACUGAUCCAGAAUGCAGCUGCUUGACUUUUCAACCUUCCUAAGUUCUCCCACACCACCAAAUUGCUAUGCUCCCUCCACUGGCUUCCUGUAGCUGCCCGCAUCAGAUUUAAAACUCUGAUACAUGCCUACAAAGCCCAAAAUGGACCAGCACCCACUUACCUCAAAUCAUUUAACACAGCCCGCACUGCCCCACGCUCCAUCCAAACCUCUAGCACUGCUACACUGUUGCCACCAUCUCUCAGGGUACAAGGAAGGCAUGCAUCAAGACUCUUCUCUGUUCUGGCACCUUGAUGGUGGAAUGAACUUCCCCUAGAUGUCUGAACAGCUGAGUCACUUGCUACCUUUUCCUCUACCUACCUUUUCCUGAAGUACUUAAAUUAGCACUUUUCAUAUUUUAAAAAAUAUAUAAUUCUGUAUCUUCUUACUACGUUUCCUCCCAACAGAGUUUUAAGACUGAGGGUAUUCUUAGUCUGUGACCUAGUGAACCAGUAUUUAUUGAUAGAGCACAAAGCACUUCAAAGCACUUCUGUAACUCACUCUGGAUAAGGGCAUCUGCCAAAUGCAAGGACAUUUCACAUUGUCCAGUCAUUAUGAGGACAUUUGUCAUUGUUCAGUCAUGACACUAUCCAAUCAUUAUGAGAAGCUAGUGGUUGUGAGGACAUUUGACAUUGUCCAGUCAUUAUGACAACCUGGUGGUUUGAGGAUUUGAUUUUAUAAUACAUCUCAUGAUAAACUUGAACACAUUUUUGUUUUCAAGGUUUUUUUAACAUCAGACACUGUACUGUACCACACUGUACCCUACUGUACUAUUAUUUACAUUUAUGACAGUUUGGCAGUGCUGGGAUUUGAACUCAUGACCUCCCAGUCAGAAGGCCAACGUCUUAACUACUGUGCUAUUUAUACAUGAACAUGUAUUUAAGGUACAUUAUUGGACUUUGUGGACCACUUGACCAUCAUGGAUAAACGUAACAUGGGGAAAGGAAAAUAAAAAUUGUGUCUUAAAUGGUAACCUUCUCAAUAUUUCCUACAAACUGUAAAUUGCGGGUAUUCUUUACCUCGCUACUGCUCAUUGUUGGGACAAUAUCCUUUUUUGGUAUAUUGUAUGUUUUCAUAAAUGCACUGGAUAAUCUUCACUACACUACACUUAAGCGUUCUUUGAUUUGUCCCUCUAGAGGAACCUUAAACUUUCCAUAUAGAACCAUUCAAUAUAAUGUUUCUCUAUCAGAGAGGGUUCCAAGUAAAACCCAUUUAGAAAACCGAGAACCUUUAACUAUAUACAUAAACCCCCAACCCUGAGGAAACUCCCAAAAUAGUUCAUUUGUAGUGGAUGGAGCCAGAGAUAGUCAGAGUCUGUAGAGUAUAUAAUGAUGUUGCCGUUUUAUUUCUCAAAUUUUUCACAAUAUUCAGCUCACAAUACUUUGAUGACUUUUUCCCUGGCUUCUUUAGGGGAGGGACAGAGGACACAAGGUGAAUAUGAAAAACUACUCGUAAACCUUCCCUGCAUGUAUAAAUGGACUGAUAAAUGUUGGAGGCAAUAAUUCUAAUAGAAAGCAUGUAUCAGUAAAAUCUUUCCCUCCUUCUUUGCCCUUUUUUGGAUCCUUAAUUCUCUGUAUUGACAGUGAAUUAAGGAUAUCGACAGUGACUGAGAGAGAGAAAGAGAGAGAGAGAGAGAAUGACACAGAGAGAGAUAGUUUGUAUAGGUAUAGUGAGAGCCUAAACACACCAACAACAACUGACAAGGAGGAUUGAUGUGAUCACUGUCCUGCUGCCAUUGCUAUGAUCUUCCCCCUGCUCUGGCAGAUUGUUAUGGUAGGAGCUAGGAACAGUACCACUGGAAAUGGUACUGAUCUAACACUCCUCAGACAUGAAGUAGGUGCCUUAGUGUGUUAGAACAUCUUUAGGGACGGUAACCUGCCAAAAUAGUAAGAACAAAUCAUAGAAGAAGCUGUCCAUAUAAUUUUUCUCAUCUCAUGAACCUUGGGGGUACCAGGUACCAUAGUCCAUGGUUGUGUAGUUCAGAUUAUAUACUUGUGCCCUGUGGCACAACUAGAUCUAUGUCAACAUAGUCAAAUUGAACCUUAGUGAUGGGUUACCCAGCGACAGCUUGCGGGGCAAGUUCUGCUGCUCGGAUUUCCAUUUUUGGUCCCUGAAUGUCUUCUCAAAAGGUGUGUAACUGCAUAUGGCCCAGGCACAUAGUUGCUUUGCUUUCAUAGUUUUAUGCCUUAUAGAUAGGCACUGUUACUGAGGAAAUGCUGCAUGUGUGGUCCUACCCACAUGGACCAUAUGCACAGUAACAUCUGUCCACUUUUUACAUUCCUUCAUUUGGCUAACACUUUUAUCCAAAGCAGCUCACACUUGAUGCAGGAAAGAAGUGAGCAGAGUCUUGCUGAAGGACACAUCACUUGGGAUUUUGAACUCAUGACCUCCUGAUCUUUAGCUCAAAAACCUUAACCACUGAGCCAGCAGUGCUCUAGAGCCAGUAGGUUAUGGCGUCAUGGUCUCCCAUGGUCAUGGCUUACUUUUGGGAUAAGCUCAGAUAAGUGGAUAGGACAAGGCAGGUGUAUGGUCAUGGACCAGGAACCUUGUACUCGCAGGAGAUACUUGCUUGGUAAGACUUAAUGGGUCUCACUGGUCUUAUCCACUACUCAGACCUUGUCCCAGCCAUAAGCAAUGAACCUGCGGGCCCCUGAAUCUGUAACCUAACAUCACAGAAUACUAUGCAUAUGGUUAAUUCAGAGGACGCUGGACAGGCAUCACACUACAUAGAUAAAAUUAUAAAAGUAGGCCGCAUGUAAAAGUUUUCCAUCCCUCCAUGUCCUUCGUUUCGCCCCUGAUCUUCUUUACCUUUAUAGAAAAAAGGUUUCUGUUAUUUUCUCUCCUCACAUACCUGUAUAUAUAAUAGGAUGACUACAGAUCAUCUAGAAGAUGCAGUUAGGUCCUGAAAUCCAAAGGUCUGUUACUGAACACUGCAUAGAAGUGUGUAAUAUUAUCUAAAGUUAUCUAAUAGUGCUGUUGAGGCUGGUGAGGGAAAGCAGUUUAUAGCUGCUAGAAGGUAAGAGAGAACAGGAAUUAACUUUCACCGACAUUAAAUAUAACAAAAAAAAUUAUAAAAAGUAUUAUGCAUCAUUCUUUAAUAAAAAAUAAAUGUAUAAAAUAGAAUAAUUAUAAAAGUGAUUGGUAACAGGAACUGUGCGUCAUCACACCACCCCAAUAUUUACUGUGUGUAUAUAAGCAUCAAAGUAAAUGUGUGUGUGUGUGUGUGUGUGUGUGUCCUCAGUUGCGCAGCUCCUUCAAACAAGCUUUUGGGAAGAAGAAAAGCUCAAAGCUUCAGACGUCUCAUGAUGAGCUUGAAGAAAUGACAGACUCGUCUGUUCCGGAAUCACCGAAACUGCAACACACACACACAGACGGCAGCACACAGGCCUUACACACAUCUUCAUCCACCACUGAUAAAUCAUCCCCCAUUUGGCUGCCAAAGAAAAGACAAACGGCCAUGUCAUCUACAAACACAGAUCUCGGUAAAAGGCAGAGUGAUGCAUGAUGGGUACAGGUGAAUGUGGUUUGGCGUGAUCUUUGCACAUGACCCAUAGAAAAGAGCUGAGGCUGUAGUGCAUUGUGGGUAAUAAUAUAGUGAACUGUCUAGUGAGAAUUCGGACACCACAAACCCAUAAACACCCAAAACGGUGCACAACCUGUCUGCUGUGUGUGUGUGUGUGUGUGUGUGUGUGUGUGUGUGUGUGUGUGUGUGUAAAGUGUUUAUACAGGACCGUAUUCCGGGUCAGAGACUUAAGUCCAAAUGUUCGGUCAGUAUUUGCGAGUGGAAAGUCCCUGAUAUUCAGAGUCCUGGUAUUACGCAGCUAUGUGUUAUGGUGUUGAAUGUGCUAUGUGCUGAAAUAGAUCUAACAGGAGUGUUGUAUAUCACUAAUAUAUCACUGCAUGUAUAAAGAUCGCUGUAAUGGUCACAUUAAUCAGUGGUUUAAUCGAACAAAAUGGCUUCCACUCAUUAUUCAGCAGCACAGGGAAUAGAAUAGCACUUGAUCCAGCGCAGACUGUUCUAAUAAGAUCACUGAAGUCUACUCUGAAUACGGCCCUGUGAGGCUGAGUUAUCCUCCUGACAGGUAUGUGGUGUAGUCCUGCUAU
Ictalurus punctatus (channel catfish) is the source of this 4282-nucleotide long non-coding RNA. Lineage: Eukaryota; Metazoa; Chordata; Actinopteri; Siluriformes; Ictaluridae. The record is from Ensembl.